GGCAGCUGCCCAACUACAGCAUCCUCCUGCAAAACUUGACAUAUCUGUCCAUGGAGUCAGUGUCCAUUACUACAGAGCUUCAUAUUCCCUCCGUAAGAUAUCAUAGAACCAAGACAAGUUCGCCCCGCAAUUCAAUCUCUGCUAAGAAAACUUGAAAAUGACUUUAUUGAAUUGGAAAAUACAGUAGAGCCCACAUGGCCAAAACUAGUUGUGCCAUUGGAAAAGAUCAUAGACAGGCUAUCCGUAGUUUGGGGGAUAGUGAAACAUCUUAGUUCCGUCAAGGACUCUCCCAAGCUCCGGCGGCAAUCAAACAAGUUCAGCCCAAAAAAGUUGAGUUUCAGUUAAAAUUAGGACAGAGUAAGCCCAUCUACAAUGCAUUUAGAGCCAUUCGGGAUUCUUCGGAUUGGGAAACUUUGAGUGAUGUGCGCAAGCGAGUAGUAGAAUGUGAGUCCAUUUCAAGCUUUAAUUUUUUUCGGCCUAUGCAUUAGAGUAUAAAUUUUGCAUAUUGAGGAUUGGAGUUGCUGCAUGUCUGGCUAAAAAAAUUGUUUUAC
RNA transcript from Olea europaea var. sylvestris, 551 nucleotides. It is a transcript of the gene named probable cytosolic oligopeptidase A, with no coding region annotated. The record is from RefSeq and is a predicted model, not a curated record. The transcript has 3 exons. Lineage: Eukaryota; Viridiplantae; Streptophyta; Magnoliopsida; Lamiales; Oleaceae.